Molecule: ribosomal RNA, 253 nt
Filed under: uncultured bacterium
Lineage: Bacteria
Description: partial 16S ribosomal RNA
Rfam family: Bacterial small subunit ribosomal RNA
Source: RNAcentral
UACAGAGGUAGCAAGCGUUAAUCGGAAUUACUGGGCGUAAAGGGUGAGUAGGUGGUAAAUUAAGUUAUAUGUGAAAUCUUUGAGCUUAACUCGGAAAGUGCAUAUAAUACUGGUUUACUAGAGUACUGUAGAGGGCGAUGGAAUUUCCGGUGUAGCGGUGAAAUGCGUAGAUAUCGGAAGGAACAUAAGUGGCGAAGGCGAUCGUCUGGACAGAUACUGACACUAAGACACGAAAGCGUGGGGAGCAAACAGG